AGCUAGGCCAAGGACAUCAAACAGGUCACAGCAGAUACAAAUCUAAAUUUAUCUGGCAAAUGCGGCCACGGAAGAUAGGAAGACAACUACCACUCUGGCCAGUGCGAGACCAGCUUGGUCACAGGUGCAAAAGCCAGACUGCAGGAGCCUGAGGAGGGGACCUGCAUUGCAGGCAGAUUCUUUGCCAGCUGAGCUACCAGGGAAGCCCUGAGCAGGGGGCAGGGCUGAGGAAAUGGAGGUAGCAAAUUCACCCUGCUCUUCCAAGAAGUUGGUCCCUGGCAGGAGACAUGAGUGGAGAAGUAACCCAAAGGGAAGGCGAUCCUGAAGGCCGCUGGGUUUUGUGUUUGGUUUUCGGUUGGUCCUGGAAAAUCCCAUGGAUGGAGGAGCCUGGUGGGUGGCAGCUACAGAGACCGAGCAGUGAGAACGAGCCCCAGAAGAGAAAGCUGCCAGGAGACGAGAGUGGCCUGGAUGGCAGGGAGCAGCCGCGGUCAGUGGAAGGUGACUUCCCAGGCGCCAGAUCAUGACAGCCACGUGCCGCCGCACCGUGCCUCUGUGGCAGUUACCAAACAACACGGGGAACAUAAACAAAAAGCUGAUGACGCAGAGCAGACCUCAUGAGAAGUCCACUUCAGGACAGUCAGGCCGGGUAAAUCAGCAGUAAUCCCAUCAGUCUCCUUAGGCCUCAACCACACAGGCUGUCACGAAGACAGAGGCUUCCACAGGGUAUGACGGCCUUCCUGGUUACAACGUGUGGAAAGCUCACACUUCAGUCUACAGUCAAACUUGGUUUGUGUGCGUAACCAAAACAUCGUUAUUUCAACCCUAUUAAUAGUGCGCUGACAACCUGUGUGUGUGGCCUGAGUGGGCCUGUGCUUUCCGGCCUCUAAAUGGGCACCUGGAUCGCAGUGAGGGUCCAGCAUGUCCCUCCUUCCAGAGUCGUGCUGGGGAGCACGGGUGGGAAGACAGUCCUGUCACAGUCGCUUCUCCUAGACACAGCUCUAGUUCCUGCUCUGGCCGGGAAAUUGCUUGAGAGAGCAAAAACGGGCCAGGAGCUGAGCACAACUGUACAAGUCCAAACACAGGCUAGGGGAGGUAUUUCAAGUGAAUGACUGUUGUGUUUUGCUUAAGCUCAGAGCAAAGUGGCAGGAGAGGAAGAUGCAAGCUCAAAGAGUACCUUUCCUUAUAAAGUCCUUUUGCAGUGACAAAAGUCAUUCUAACAAUUAGUAUCAAGCAUAUCUUGUAUUUCCAAGGCAUACACUUCCCAAAGAGCUCAAAACAAACAAACAAACAAAAAAAAAAAAACCUUUAAUUCGGCAUCCUGUUCAGAAAGAAGGGAAAUUAACAGUAAAAUCUGAUCAGUUCAAUCAACUGGGGAGUUUGCUAUGAAUAGUGAGAUGUCUGAACCCUAGGACAGUGA
Long non-coding RNA from Bos taurus (domestic cattle), 1417 nucleotides. The record is from Ensembl. NCBI's taxonomy places the organism in Eukaryota, Metazoa, Chordata, Mammalia, Artiodactyla, Bovidae.